This 549-nucleotide ribosomal RNA is filed under the name uncultured archaeon. RNAcentral's name for it is "bacterial SSU rRNA". It matches the Rfam family "Archaeal small subunit ribosomal RNA", at positions 325 to 879 of the family's 1478-position model. The record is from RNAcentral.
AUGGGGCGCAGCAGGCGCGAAACCUCUGCAAUGCACGAAAGUGUGACAGGGGGAUUCCACGUGCAAGCUUUGCUUGCUUUUCCCAAGUCCAAAACGCCUGGGGAAUAAGGGCUGGGCAAGACCCGUGCCAGCCGCCGCGGUAACACGGGCAGCUCUAGUGGCGUUCGCGAAUAUUGGGCCUAAAGCGUAGGUAGCCGGCCAAGUAAGUUCCUGGUGAAAGCAUGCGACUUAAUCGUGUGAGUUGCCAGGAAAACUACUCGGCUUGGGACCGGAAGAGGUCGGAGGUAUUCCAGGGGUAGGGGUAAAAUCCUGUAAUCCUUGGAGGACCAUCGGUGGCGAAGGCGUCCGACUGGGACGGGUCCGACGGUGAGGUACGAAAGCUAGGGGAGCGACCCGGAUUAGAUACCCGGUUAGUCCUAGCCGUAAAUGAUGUCUGUUUGGUAUUGCACUCCUUACGAGGGAUUGCAGUGCCGUAGGGAAGCCGUUAAACAGACCGCCUGGGGAGUACGGCCGCAAGGCUGAAACUUAAAGGAAUUGGCGGGGGAGCAC